This 72-nucleotide transfer RNA is filed under the name Promethearchaeota archaeon. Its description in RNAcentral is "Candidatus Lokiarchaeota archaeon (microbial mat metagenome) tRNA-Gly". It matches the Rfam family "tRNA". Rfam says of the family: Transfer RNA (tRNA) molecules are approximately 80 nucleotides in length. Their secondary structure includes four short double-helical elements and three loops (D, anti-codon, and T loops). Further hydrogen bonds mediate the characteristic L-shaped molecular structure. tRNAs have two regions of fundamental functional importance: the anti-codon, which is responsible for specific mRNA codon recognition, and the 3' end, to which the tRNAs corresponding amino acid is attached (by aminoacyl-tRNA synthetases). tRNAs cope with the degeneracy of the genetic code in two manners: having more than one tRNA (with a specific anti-codon) for a particular amino acid; and 'wobble' base-pairing, i.e. permitting non-standard base-pairing at the 3rd anti-codon position. The record is from RNAcentral. Lineage: Archaea; Promethearchaeati; Promethearchaeota.
GCGGUUAUAGUCUAGCGGCUAGGAUAGAAGCCUCCCACGCUUCCGACGCGGGUUCAAAUCCCGCUAACCGCA